CAAAAAUAGGAGUUAUAUUUGCUGGUGAAGAAGCAAUUGUGGUGGUUGGACAUUUAAGCUGUUGACGUUAAUUUGGAAUUAUGUUCAGCUUUGGUGAUUACUGCAUAUAUUGUCAAGGUACAUCGUCUUGAUAGAGAGAGCAGUGGCCUUCAUUUAAUGGGAAGAACGGAAGAAAGUAUCUCCCAUCUUCAUUUAUUGUUCAGCAACACAAAAAGGUCCAAGUCCCUAUCUAAGGCAUGGAAUGAUGCAUGUGGGUCAACAUAUCAGAGGUAUUGGGCGUUGGUAAUAGGUUCCCCCAAGGUGAAG
RNAcentral lists this unclassified non-coding RNA (306 nucleotides) under Hevea brasiliensis (rubber tree). The record is from RNAcentral. Lineage: Eukaryota; Viridiplantae; Streptophyta; Magnoliopsida; Malpighiales; Euphorbiaceae.